This 440-nucleotide ribosomal RNA is filed under the name uncultured bacterium. RNAcentral's name for it is "partial 16S ribosomal RNA". It matches the Rfam family "Bacterial small subunit ribosomal RNA", at positions 338 to 795 of the family's 1533-position model. The record is from RNAcentral.
CCUACGGGAGGCAGCAGUGGGGGAUAUUGCACAAUGGGGGGAACCCUGAUGCAGCGACGCCGCGUGAGCGAUGAAGUAUUUCGGUAUGUAAAGCUCUAUCAGCAGGGAAGAAAAUGACGGUACCUGACUAAGAAGCCCCGGCUAACUACGUGCCAGCAGCCGCGGUAAUACGUAGGGGGCAAGCGUUAUCCGGAUUUACUGGGUGUAAAGGGAGCGUAGACGGCAGUGCAAGUCUGAAGUGAAAGGCGAGGGCUCAACCCUUGGACUGCUUUGGAAACUGUCCUGCUGGAGUGACGGAGAGGCAAGUGGAAUUCCUAGUGUAGCGGUGAAAUGCGUAGAUAUUAGGAGGAACACCAGUGGCGAAGGCGGCUUACUGGACGAUGACUGACGUUGAGGCUCGAAAGCGUGGGGAGCAAACAGGAUUAGAUACCCUGGUAGUC